RNAcentral lists this ribosomal RNA (478 nucleotides) under uncultured bacterium. RNAcentral's name for it is "bacterial SSU rRNA". It matches the Rfam family "Bacterial small subunit ribosomal RNA", at positions 28 to 524 of the family's 1533-position model. The record is from RNAcentral.
GAUGAACGCUGGCGGCGUGCUUAACACAUGCAAGUCGAACGUGAGGGGGUAGCAAUAUCCUUGAAAGUGGCGCACGGGUGAGUAAUACGUAGGUAACCUGCCUUGGAGUGGGGGAUAACAGCUAGAAAUGGCUGCUAAUACCGCAUGAGGCCGAGACACUGGGAAGUGUUUUGGCGAAAACUCUGGUGCUUCAGGAGGGGCCUGCGGCCGAUUAGCUAGUUGGCGGGGUAAGAGCCCACCAAGGCAUUGAUCGGUAGCUGGUCUGAGAGGACGAUCAGCCACACGGGAACUGAGACACGGUCCCGACUCCUACGGGGGGCAGCAGUGAGGAAUAUUGGGCAAUGGGCGGAAGCCUGACCCAGCAACGCCGCGUGGAGGAAGACGGCCUUCGGGUUGUAAACUCCUUUUACGGGGGAAGAGGAAGGACGGUACCCGAGAAUAAGUCACGGCGUAACUACGUGCCAGCAGCCGCGGUAAU